RNAcentral lists this unclassified non-coding RNA (354 nucleotides) under soil metagenome. RNAcentral describes it as "partial contains 5.8S ribosomal RNA, internal transcribed spacer 2, and large subunit ribosomal RNA". The stretch from base 1 to 119 matches the Rfam family "5.8S ribosomal RNA", at positions 35 to 154 of the family's 154-position model. The record is from RNAcentral.
GAUGAAGAACGUAGCAAAAUGCGAUAAGUAAUGCGAAUUGCAGAAUCCGUGAGUCAUCGAAUCUUUGAACGCACAUUGCGCCCUUUGGUAUUCCGAAGGGCAUGCCUGUUCGAGCGUCAUUAUCACCACUCAAGCCCGGCUUGCUGUUGGUGGCAGCGCAGCCGGUCAACCGGCUACGCUCCACCCAAAGAUAAUGACGGCGUCUGCGAGGACUCCUGUACAUUGAGCUUUCGGGCACGUACAUGGCUAGAAGUCCAGGCGCCGGUCGACGUCCUCCGGGACACUUUUUACCAAGGUUGACCUCGGAUCAGGUAGGGAUACCCGCUGAACUUAAGCAUAUCAAUAAGCGGAGGA